Molecule: long non-coding RNA, 1321 nt
Filed under: Anolis carolinensis (green anole)
Lineage: Eukaryota; Metazoa; Chordata; Lepidosauria; Squamata; Anolidae
Description: lncRNA (ENSACAG00000039585.1)
Source: RNAcentral
AUGGACUACUGCUAUCACAUCAUCUGCUUUCUGCUUGCACUUAUGCCCCUCUGUAAGUUGCUUAGGUAUCCACCUGGAACACAUUUUACUGAAUAUAAGGCUGUCAUGAAUCAGGGCAUAAGCAGAUCUAACACUCAGAUUCAGCUUUCCUGCAUCCUCUUUGACUGUUCUUUUCCCCCUGUUUUUGCAAAUCAGUUCCAUACUCUAGAAACUUCGUUAUUGUGGCUGCCACAAACUAUGUUGAAUUGGUAGAAACUCCGAGAUAUUCAUUGAAAACUACAGAAAAAUAUAAUGCAGGAUAUCACGCAAAAACAAAGUUUUUGUAGUUUAAUAAACCUUUUUGAUGUUUUUAUGAUAGAACCAAUUAGAAAAUGACAGUUAUUAAACAGGAACAAAUAUCAUGCUAUUUGGUGUUAUUAGCUGCUGCAACUGCUACUGUUCCUCUCAACAAACUGGAUUGUAGCACAUUUCCCACUGCAUUUAACUUUGCUAAGUAUCUUUGUGCUCAUUUCCAUCCAUGUGUCAAUCAUUACUUCCUAAAACUUCUCCUACAGCAAACCAAUUAAGCUCAAAGCAAUUCUUCUCCAUUCCCACCCCUUUGGGGAUUUCACUUUGCCCUAAUACAGCUGUUUAGAAAAGUUUUUCCUCUCUCUUUCACCAAGUCCAUCUAUUUUCUCCUAGUUAUUGUAGUAUCAUGUAUAGUAUGGUAUAUUGAAUAAAUCCCCUUUCUCCUUGUUAAAAUAUCUAUAGGCUUUUAUGAUCUCCCUCAGAGAGCUCUAAACCAAGAUAUAAUACCUGGGGCUCUUAAUCCUUCCUCAUAAAUUCAGUCCUUAGCUCCAUUAUCCAUGUUUAUUCUUCCAGUUUUCACACGUCUCUCUCUCUCUCUCCCCCCCCCCCCCAUAUUUACCAAGAAUACCUGGGAACUGUUUUUCUUACAUCUCACACAUUUGCAAGUUCUCACUGUAAUUACUCACAGUAUUAACUGUGAGUGCUUUUGCAUAUCUUUUUCAUUUUUUAGAGAAGUUUCCCUCCCACCGCACUUUAGGGGAAGAGCUCUAGAUCACACAAAAAAGCCAAAAUACAUAACAGCCUGAAGGUUUUCUAUCACCACAGACUCAAAUAUAUGCUGAAGUGUAACUCUGCCUGUGGCCAAGUUCACAAUGGAGCCUUUCCUCCAAAUGCCUCAAUAUAUAACAAAUAUUAACAUGAAAUGAAACCUUUUCAGUUAUACAACCUUAAUUACAGAAUAAUCUCCUUAGUGAGAUUUGAUGAACACCAACACCACUAUUCUGGUCCCUUUUUGAAAGGUUUCAAUGUACUU